RNAcentral lists this ribosomal RNA (253 nucleotides) under uncultured bacterium. RNAcentral's name for it is "partial 16S ribosomal RNA". It matches the Rfam family "Bacterial small subunit ribosomal RNA", at positions 524 to 776 of the family's 1533-position model. The record is from RNAcentral.
UACGAAGGGGGCUAGCGUUGUUCGGAAUUACUGGGCGUAAAGCGCACGUAGGCGGACUCUUAAGUCGGUGGUGAAAUCCUGGAGCUCAACUCCAGAACUGCCUUCGAUACUGGGAGUCUCGAGUUCGGGAGAGGUGAGUGGAACUGCGAGUGUAGAGGUGAAAUUCGUAGAUAUUCGCAAGAACACCAGUGGCGAAGGCGGCUCACUGGCCCGAUACUGACGCUGAGGUGCGAAAGCGUGGGGAGCAAACAGG